AUGAGCCGCCCAGCACAGUUGGGUGAUAAGGUGACAUUGUUGGAUAUGUGCGGCUCCCUUGCCUUGUGCUGCACCACCAAUGACUGUGUCAAUUUAGAUGUUUGGGUGUUGCAGGACUAUGAUGCUGAAACCUGGGGCUUUCAGUACCGGUUUAACUUGUCAGCAAUGGAGGCAUUGCCACCAUUUAAGUUUGACCUCAAUGCUCUCCCUAGGAUGGCUGUGAUCAAUGAGCGUGAGCUGUUGAUCGAGCAGUGUGUUGGCCGUCUGUUGCAUUGUGACAUUGAUGGUGUGUUUUUAGGAUAUGUGCGAGCCAAGGAGCCUGGGAACCACUUUAUGCUAACUAUGCAGCGCCUCCAAGAGAGCAUGAUUUCAGUCCCAUUGUUUGAGGCGCAGGAAGAAGAUGCUGUGAACAAGGAGUCUCCAUUCGUCAUGGUGCUAUAA
Molecule: ribosomal RNA, 441 nt
Filed under: Triticum aestivum (bread wheat)
Lineage: Eukaryota; Viridiplantae; Streptophyta; Magnoliopsida; Poales; Poaceae
Description: partial small subunit ribosomal RNA
Source: RNAcentral